GUACACAUAUUUUAGUGGCACAAACUCAAAAUAAACCAAAUUUGAAAUUCAGAUGACGGAAAUUGAUAAACUUUAACCGAAGUUUUUGACCAAGAAGAGGAUUUCAAAGAUGAUUGAGAUUUCAUUGAAUACGUAUUCGUUAGUACUUCUAAUAAGUACAAAGUCGCGAUAUACACACACACACCCUCGCCCUCACCCUCACACACACACACAUAUAUAUAUAUAUCAACAUUUCCUAUAUAUCUUAAAUACUUCAUAUAUUACAUCAUUUCUUAUAUAUUGCCAACAUUCGUAUCUUUAGUUACAAACGGUCCUUCAUAUACCUUCCUUAUUUGGAAAGAAAAAUAAUAAUAAUACAAUAACAGGCGUUAUUGAAAGUCACGUAACAGUGACGUGAUUCUCGAAUACAGGAUUAUCACUGCAACACAAUCACGGCCUUUAUCAGAUCAGUCGAAUGAGGCGUUUAUGUCAAGGGAGGACAAACCGCUUUUGUCAAGUUGCAAUUUCAAUUCGUUACCAUCUAGUUUUUUUGUAGCAUUUAGCCCCUAGCUAAUUCUAAUCUAAUGUAGUUAUUUUCAGGUUUUGCAAUCUCUGUGAAUAUGCAUGACUUUCCUUAAGAGUGCGGCCAGCGCCAUGAUAAUAUCGGACUCCGUGCGCUAUUCCAUUGACAUAGCCGUCUUUACAAUACUUUCUUACCAAUCUUGCAGAGUGUCCAAAUGUCAUUUCAAAAGUUCUUGUGUCAAAAAGUUCUGGACUGUGCUCGUUGACAGAACUGUAGUCUUUUUCUUCUACCCGCAUAAGGUCAUCCAAAACUUUUUAAAGCAGGAUGCAAGAGUAAAUGACUAAAAUUUGCAGAUUUGCAUAAAAAUUCAGUAGCUAUCCGAUCAUAGACGAAAACAAGAGGAGCCUUCCUAUGUAAGUAUAUGCAACACCCAAGGCGGCUGAGCAGGAAUGAUAGCCUCCAUCAGGCGUCACUUACUCAAAAUUCCAACCAACUUCCGUUCAACAUCACGUCUUCUUCGUUGAUUGAGAUAUCGGACAACACAAUUCCACGAAUUUUUACAAUACUUCAGCAUACUGGUGCAUUGAAGAAGGUAAAAGAGUACCUAACUGCUUAGAGUGUAUGCAACGCCGACUGCAGUUAAGCACGGAAAGUGUUGCUUCAAUCACCCACUGCACUGAUACCAUAACAUUAAUCGUAUCAUCAGACGUUUUUUAUCC
This 1221-nucleotide long non-coding RNA is filed under the name Bemisia tabaci. RNAcentral's name for it is "lncRNA ENSSSA2NGG012090". The record is from RNAcentral. Lineage: Eukaryota; Metazoa; Arthropoda; Insecta; Hemiptera; Aleyrodidae.